This 468-nucleotide ribosomal RNA is filed under the name uncultured bacterium. Its description in RNAcentral is "partial 16S ribosomal RNA". It matches the Rfam family "Bacterial small subunit ribosomal RNA", at positions 28 to 507 of the family's 1533-position model. The record is from RNAcentral.
GACGAACGCUGGCGGCGUGCUUAACACAUGCAAGUCGAACGGAAAGGCCCUGCUUUUGUGGGGUGCUCGAGUGGCGAACGGGUGAGUAACACGUGAGUAACCUGCCCUUGACUUUGGGAUAACUUCAGGAAACUGGGGCUAAUACCGGAUAGGGGCUCCUGCUGCAUGGUGGGGGUUGGAAAGUUUCGGCGGUUGGGGAUGGACUCGCGGCUUAUCAGCUUGUUGGUGGGGUAGUGGCUUACCAAGGCUUUGACGGGUAGCCGGCCUGAGAGGGUGACCGGCCACAUUAGGACUGAGAUACGGCCCAGACUCCUACGGGAGGCAGCAGUGGGGAAUAUUGCACAAUGGGCGGAAGCCUGAUGCAGCAACGCCGCGUGCGGGAUGACGGCCUUCGGGUUGUAAACCGCUUUCGCCUGUGACGAAGCGUGAGUGACGGUAAUGGGUAAAGAAGCACCGGCUAACUACGUG